CCAUGGGGUUCAUAAUGCGUAAUCUGCUUUUUAAUUAAUAGAUAAUAUAGACACAAUGCACUGUGGAGAAAUUAUAUAAAUUAUAGAUAAUAAUUCGGACAUAGUGAAAUCAAUCAAUCAUAGGAAAUUAUUUAUCUGAUAUCCAAUGAGCAUAGACUUUUAGUAAUUAUAUAAUACAUCUGGUGGAGAAAGGAAGAAUUAAGGAAAAAGAUUGCCAUUGUCACGUCUGCGCUGACCCGGGAUUACAAAAUAAAACUAUAGAUUAAGACUUCAAAAUUCUCUAGACGUAACUAUAAAUAAGGGACACUUCUUCUUUGUAGAUUAAAUUGAAUUAGAAUUAAAAUGGGAACCGACCUUAAAACUGUAUAAUAAUUAGAUACAAUGUUCCAGCCUAAAUAUACAUAAAAUACUUCCAAAAGUUGUUCUUUAAGAGCGGCGUGACUAAGGCCAACUUAAACAAAGAAAGAGCGAGGAACAACGGACGCUAGCACAUACGCAAAUACAUGCGACAAAUUCACGGGUCUUCAUCCUCAUCACCAGUACGUAAUACCUUGAACGUCCGCAGUCCUCGUAUCAGGAGGAAUCUCUUUGGACAUCCCUGCCGCCUGCUAAGGGGAGAACCACCACGAACCAAUGACGACACCGCAGCAAAUUACCUUUCGCUGAUUGGUCAACGCUCUUUAUUUAACCGACUGCACAGAUCCAUUUUAUGAUUUUUGCUCUUAGAUUCUCGCAAUGCUAGAUAAUCACUCCGAUAUACAUUUUAUUCGACUCAGUCUUUGUUACGAUUAUUCUUAGUUAUUAUUUAUUUUUACUUAUUUUUUAAUUAUUAUUAUUGUCUUGAACGGAUCAUUAUUCUUGUAUCUAUUUGUUGUUGCUAUUUUGAAUAAAUUAAAUAUUGUUGAAGCAGUCUAAGUUAAUAAUCCCGGUUGUGUCUACAGAAACAACUCAUUUUCCUAAUUCAUAUCGAGACAAAUCUUAAUUCUGUUUUCUUCGAUUACAUGUUGCUUAAACGCGAUCAAAGAAUUCAUACAUCACGGCACAGUCGACAAAUUCUUUCGUGCUAUUUCGCUAAUUAUCUCAACUCCCUUCUGGAAUCCAGCCGAAUGAGUCGAGGACAAAUAAAACCAAUACGGCGGUAACUAUAUUCAAUCCACUAAUCAAUGAAGUGGAUCACAGCGAGUCCCCUUCGGACAAUCCUCUUUGUCAAGACGCCUCUCGUUCUAAAAUAAAUCGCAGCGUUAAACGCUAAGGCAGGUGCUACCUUAUUGACUAGCGUACUUCGUUCGACGCACCAUCAAGUGCCAGUCUCGUGCCAUAGAACUGCAUACAGCAGAUUUCAAGAUGCCAUUAAAUAAAAAUUAUUUUUCACAAAAAAUA
This is a long non-coding RNA of Vespula pensylvanica (western yellowjacket), 1380 nucleotides long. RefSeq lists it as uncharacterized. Lineage: Eukaryota; Metazoa; Arthropoda; Insecta; Hymenoptera; Vespidae. The record is from RefSeq and is a predicted model, not a curated record. The transcript is spliced from 2 exons.